CUCUUUUUUUUUUUUUUGCACAUGACACUGUAAGCUUAGUUCUGAGAAACUGGGGAAGAGAGACCAGUAUUUCUCAGCCAGAACUAACAGCGUUCAUCUCCCUUAGCACGAACUGAACUUGCAGUGGAGUGGGAGGGCUUGACAGAAGGAGGAGAGAAGGGACUAUAUUUGAAUAGGUAUUAAUAAAUUUAUUAGAUACUUUUCACAAUCAGAUAACUUUAAAAUAUUAUUUUUAUCUUCUAAGGACAUAAGCCUUAACAACAUCAACAUUUGAAGAUAUUCCCCAAUAAUAAGUUUAUAUAUAUAUAUACAUAUAUAUAUUUGAAAUAAAAAAAAUUGUUAGCCAUGUUUUUUGCUCCAGGAUGUGUGGCCAUUCCAGGCUGUGAGCCCUGGGUAUGCACACAAAUAAGCCUGUGUGCUCUGAAGACCCCCGCACAUUGUAAUAAACACAGCUGCAUUUAUUUGAGUAUGUGCUCCCAUGUACGUGUAAAAACACUCAAACAAACACACUCGGCAGAUUUAUGUCAUGUGCAAACGGGGCAAUUAUUCAAAUAAAUAUGCUCAAUACAAUUAUUUGAGUCUCGCAUCGCAUGCUCACCACUCACAGCACUAACACUAAAAGAGGGGGAAACACCAAAGAAUUUACGUGGGGGAAAAUAUAUGUGAAAACAAUGUUAUUGUAGAUGUUCUAAGGUAGCUAAGGCUGUGGCUCCCUUCUUAACUGAAACGCAAUGAUUUUGUACUCAGUGGCAUUUGUUUCUAACGAUGACUAGAACUUCACUCGCUUGAUCAUUACAUCAGAAUGACGACAGAAUUUGGAUUCAUGUAAUAGCAAACUUUCUGAAGCAGAUAGGGAUGACACAUCUCUAUAUUUCAAAAGCGGAACAGUCCUUUCUGCCUCCCUUACAUCAGUGGAAUGCUGAUGCAUUAUUACGGCUCACAUACGACGUAGCUAUAAAUUUAAAAUGUUACACACACAUAGAAAAAAAAAACAUUCCUACAUUUUAAACCAUUAAAAAGUCACAGAUGACUCGUGUGAUCAUUUUAUAUAUUAAUAAAUACUACAAUAUAUACGCGAACACAUCACAAAUCACAUUGGUGAACCUAGAGGCUGCAGUGCCUCUCUUCAGUAUACUGACAUAACCUGAUAUACUAAAAUGGGAAGGGGCUUUUAGUCACUGAAUAUGCAUCGUGAAACAAAGACGAAGAAAAUACAUGACGUGUUCCCAUCAUGAAAAAGAUUCAUACUGAAGGCUUAGCUUUGGUUUUUAUUCAAUUAAAUUGUCAAACUGUGCACAGUGAACUUUUUUUUUUUUUUUAGAACUUGAGACAUUUGUGAUGUUGGCUGUUUAAAUCUUUGUUACCUUCGCUGUGAAUUGAAAUUGUACAUAUUUAGUAAAUCAUGCAAACAAAACCAACUUUUUAGACAAUAUUUUUAUUGGAGAGUUUUCUUUUCCUGUAUCCAUGUUUUAAAAAAAAAAGACCUCCUUUCCCAAAAUAAAAGAUGUCAAUACUAAAUUUAAAGAAGUAUAAAGGAAUAAUUGCUUCCUUUAGAGCAAAUACUUAAAUAAAUAUGGAGAGAAUUGGCAACAUGUUCGUUUGGGGCUAAUAGGCUGUGUUCAAUUUUUUGGGGGGGGGGUUAAAGUUUCAGAAGGCCUCUGUUUCACAUUUGAAGAUAAUAUAUUAAUCUCUGAAUUAAACAAAUGCUCUUAAGCAACAGG
RNAcentral lists this long non-coding RNA (1721 nucleotides) under Rattus norvegicus (Norway rat). RNAcentral describes it as "long non-coding RNA NONRATT019271". The record is from RNAcentral. Lineage: Eukaryota; Metazoa; Chordata; Mammalia; Rodentia; Muridae.